AUUCAGUGGGCAGAAUGCUUGCCUUGCAUGCAGGAAGCUCUGGGUUCCAUCCCCAG
This 56-nucleotide transfer RNA is filed under the name Rattus norvegicus (Norway rat). It matches the Rfam family "tRNA", at positions 10 to 63 of the family's 71-position model. Rfam says of the family: Transfer RNA (tRNA) molecules are approximately 80 nucleotides in length. Their secondary structure includes four short double-helical elements and three loops (D, anti-codon, and T loops). Lineage: Eukaryota; Metazoa; Chordata; Mammalia; Rodentia; Muridae. The record is from Rfam by way of RNAcentral.